CCUACGGGAGGCAUCAGUGGGGGAUAUUGCACAAUGGGGGCAACCCUGAUGCAGCGACGCCGCGUGGGUGAAGGAGCGUUUCGGCGCGUAAAGCCCUAUCAGCAGGGAAGAAGAAAUGACGGUACCUGAGUAAGAAGCAUCAGCUAAAUACGUGCCAGCAGCCGCGGUAAUACGUAUGGUGCAAGCGUUAUCCGGAUUUACUGGGUGUAAAGGGAGCGCAGGCGGGACGGCAAGUCUGAUGUGAAAGCUCGCGGCCCAACCGCGGGACUGCAUUGGGAACUACCGGUCUGGAGUGCCGGAGAGGUAGGCGGAAUUCCUAGUGUAGCGGUGAAAUGCGUAGAUAUUAGGAGGAACACCAGUGGCGAAGGCGGCCUACUGGACGGUGACUGACGCUGAGGCUCGAAAGCGUGGGGAGCAAACAGGAUUAGAUACCCCAGUAGUC
RNAcentral lists this ribosomal RNA (442 nucleotides) under uncultured bacterium. Its description in RNAcentral is "partial 16S ribosomal RNA". It matches the Rfam family "Bacterial small subunit ribosomal RNA", at positions 338 to 795 of the family's 1533-position model. The record is from RNAcentral.